Molecule: transfer RNA, 68 nt
Filed under: Herbaspirillum frisingense
Lineage: Bacteria; Pseudomonadati; Pseudomonadota; Betaproteobacteria; Burkholderiales; Oxalobacteraceae
Description: tRNA-Pro
Rfam family: tRNA (bases 4-61)
About the family: Transfer RNA (tRNA) molecules are approximately 80 nucleotides in length. Their secondary structure includes four short double-helical elements and three loops (D, anti-codon, and T loops).
Source: RNAcentral
GCCUGGCGUAGCCCGGUAACGCACCUGGUUCGGGACCAGGGGGCCACGGUUCGAAUCCUUGUAAGCCG